GAUAGCUUCAUCACCAUCUCUAUUAUUGUUAGAAGUAUUGAAAACCUACAAAGAAAAGAUAAAAACUUUAAGAAUAUGAAAAUAACAAUAUAUUCUAAAUCACUAAAUCCAUGUAUACGAAAAUAUAAAUGAUAAUUAAGUUACCAACAUUUUAUGAAAGCCGGAAAAGUACUUUUUCCUGUUAAGCUGUGGAGCCACCACCUUGUUUGAUGAUAAGUUCUAUACCUGCUAUUUUGGCCUGGGCAUGACACUGUACCUAAAAAGGCUGCCAUCAAACACCACUUUUCUUAUUGAGAGAACGUUAAAACCAUGGGCCACUGUGUUAUUCGAAACGUGUGCGAUAGCUUUGCCAUACAUUUCUUACCAGCCUCCUCCAUGUCAAAAGCAAAAGCUCUUUUGAUAUUUGAAGGCCCGCCAACAUCGGCUCUCGUAGCCUCAAAUAUAUGCUUUGUUUAAACUGACGAUGGGGCCAUGCAUAUAUUGUCGCAUUUCUUGGUACAAGUCUGGCCUUCCAGCUUUCAUUCAUAUCGUCAUCGUUAUCAUCACUCGGUGACACUUUUUUUUCCCCUCUCUCUCUCUACGUGUCUUGUGGUCUCCAU
Molecule: long non-coding RNA, 599 nt
Filed under: Elaeis guineensis (African oil palm)
Lineage: Eukaryota; Viridiplantae; Streptophyta; Magnoliopsida; Arecales; Arecaceae
Description: long non-coding RNA (EGUI_LNC045705)
Source: RNAcentral